UUAAUAUUGCAAAGUCCGUGAAUUAAUUGUUGAGUGAAAUUUGUCGUUGGACUACAAGUUGCGAAAUAAAAUAUUUCGCGAAUUUAAAUAAUUCCUUUCCGUGAGGAAUAUAUUUAUUGAACUCAAUUUGCGUACUGGAUCGAAUAAUUGGACAAUAAUAUAAAGGUCCAGUCCGUGAUAAAUAAAUUAUGUACUACACAAUUUAAAAUAAAAUACAAUGGACCGUGAAUUAAAGAUUCUCCUUGAUAUUAAUUCAAUUACUAAAUAAAGAUCCUACAGAUAUCUUCAUCCUCCGUAAUGAGAUAUUCAUCCUCCGUAAUCUACAAAUAAAAUACCAAAUAAAUUCAAUUAAAUCAAAGAAAUAGAGAGAAGAAAAAUAAAAGAAAAAUUGAAAACCCUCCCCCUUAACCCACGUAAAAAAAAAAAGUUUCUCCCCUCACCCCAUAAAUCUCUCCCAUAUCUAUCAACUACCCUUUUCUAUAAUAUCCCAUUCACAAUUAGUUUCCUAGUUUCCUCAUUCUACCAGCAAUCUGAAAAAAAGGAGGAACCGUGAGAUCAAGACUCCAGUUUUUUUAUCUGUGGUUGUCUAUCCAACUAAGGUAAUUUCUUCACAAUUCCAUGAAUACGAACCUCCAUGAAUUAAUUCCAUGAUACCAAUUCUUCAAUUCACAGUUAAGGAGAAAUUGACAAUUAAAAUAGAAGCCGGGGGAUUUAUCGAGUUGAAGCUUCUUUUCCACAAUCUGCCAAUUGAAGGUAGACUUCGCAAGGGAAUCGAGAUACCAAAGGGAAGGAAGUGUAGAGAAUUAAUCAAUUGAGGUUGAGCGGCGACGAGCAGUUGGUGGUGUUGAGCAAUUUAAAAUUGAAGCAUGGUUGGUUAGUUGUGAACUACGAGUGUCGUUGUGUCUCCACACAUGACGUCACUCUUUUUCUUGAACGCUUCCGCUGAGACAUUGUCGUUACUCACCAUUCUUUUAGCGUUGAACCUAAUUAUUUGGAUAACGUCGACCUCUUGGCCCUUUGUUGUUAAAUAUUAAUUAUUGGUCAAACUCUUUAUUAAAACCCUA
Long non-coding RNA from Salvia splendens (bonfire salvia), 1064 nucleotides. RefSeq lists it as uncharacterized. Lineage: Eukaryota; Viridiplantae; Streptophyta; Magnoliopsida; Lamiales; Lamiaceae. The transcript has 3 exons. The record is from RefSeq and is a predicted model, not a curated record.